AGAGUUUGAUCAUGGCUCAGAACGAACGCUGGCGGCAGGCUUAACACAUGCAAGUCGAACGCCCCGCAAGGGGAGUGGCAGACGGGUGAGUAACGCGUGGGAACAUACCCUUUCCUGCGGAAUAGCUCCGGGAAACUGGAAUUAAUACCGCAUACGCCCUACGGGGGAAAGAUUUAUCGGGGAAGGAUUGGCCCGCGUUGGAUUAGCUAGUUGGUGGGGUAAAGGCCUACCAAGGCGACGAUCCAUAGCUGGUCUGAGAGGAUGAUCAGCCACAUUGGGACUGAGACACGGCCCAAACUCCUACGGGAGGCAGCAGUGGGGAAUAUUGGACAAUGGGCGCAAGCCUGAUCCAGCCAUGCCGCGUGAGUGAUGAAGGCCUUAGGGUUGUAAAGCUCUUUCACCGGAGAAGAUAAUGACGGUAUCCGGAGAAGAAGCCCCGGCUAACUUCGUGCCAGCAGCCGCGGUAAUACGAAGGGGGCUAGCGUUGUUCGGAAUUACUGGGCGUAAAGCGCACGUAGGCGGAUAUUUAAGUCAGGGGUGAAAUCCCAGAGCUCAACUCUGGAACUGCCUUUGAUACUGGGUAUCUUGAGUAUGGAAGAGGUAAGUGGAAUUCCGAGUGUAGAGGUGAAAUUCGUAGAUAUUCGGAGGAACACCAGUGGCGAAGGCGGCUUACUGGUCCAUUACUGACGCUGAGGUGCGA
Molecule: ribosomal RNA, 700 nt
Filed under: Agrobacterium sp. S1-A4
Lineage: Bacteria; Pseudomonadati; Pseudomonadota; Alphaproteobacteria; Hyphomicrobiales; Rhizobiaceae
Description: bacterial SSU rRNA
Rfam family: Bacterial small subunit ribosomal RNA
Source: RNAcentral